GGUUGUCCCUGUUUUUUUUUUGUAGGACACUGGUGAAGCAGGGAAGCUUCGAAGAUCCAGGAUGAAGUGUGCACAUUUUAAUGGAAAAGAUUUUUAACCUGGCCUGGUUUUGCUUUUAAAAUAAACUGAGGAUGUUGGAGGGAGGACUCAUUCUUAUUGGGAUGUGAGUGGAUGUGCUGGAAGGCAGGAAAACAAACACUGGACUGGAGACUCUCUGUGCCCCUGACAAGGAAACUGGACCAGUUUUGGGGAAGUUCCAGCUCCCAGGAUGUGAUGUGGAGACCCAGCCUCGAACGAAGUCAGGCCUGAAAAGGCUAACAACCCUGACCGCGGUGGCUUUGGGCCUUGGAUUCCUGGCCAGAGUUGUGUCUUCAGCCAGUAGUUUUACCCGGAGAAAGAACAAAUAAAUCUUGUGUAACCCA
Maylandia zebra (zebra mbuna) is the source of this 422-nucleotide long non-coding RNA. RefSeq lists it as uncharacterized. The record is from RefSeq and is a predicted model, not a curated record. NCBI's taxonomy places the organism in Eukaryota, Metazoa, Chordata, Actinopteri, Cichliformes, Cichlidae.